AGUCUUGGCUGAUAGCAUGGAGAUUGCGUCUAUAAGGCUUCUAUUGUAACCAGCCUGUAGGUUCCUGGUAGCACACAGCGAAACAAUUCUUUGCAGUAUAAGAUUUAACUGCUGUCAAAAUGCAUUGCAUGAUGA
Thalassophryne amazonica is the source of this 135-nucleotide long non-coding RNA. RefSeq lists it as uncharacterized. Lineage: Eukaryota; Metazoa; Chordata; Actinopteri; Batrachoidiformes; Batrachoididae. The record is from RefSeq and is a predicted model, not a curated record. The transcript has 3 exons.